UAGGCAGGCUUGAGGAGGUGGUGUCUGAUUUACAUAGGGCUCACAGAUUGGUUUGACAGAUGUGACAUUUACAUAGCAUGUGGGGAAGGCUGGUUGCCCCACCCUAAUCUUAUUAAGCAAAUAGUCUUUCCACUUGGCCAGCGCCAUCUUGUCUGAUCCUUACUGUACACGUGGCUGGCCAAGAGAAGAGAAGAUGGAGCGGCCAUUUUGAUCAUGCCUAGUCCCAGAAUAUAUCAGCUGUGAAAAUAAGUGAAAGAAAGAUUUUCUUAUCUCCAACAUUUCUGGGAAGGGGUGUGUCUGUGGAUUUUAUGUUACUGGAAAGAGACAAUCCAGUAGUCCACUUUGUCAGGAGUGUUUCAAACAACAUCUGUGAACCCACUGGACUUCAAGCUCCUACAGGCUAGAGAUUUGGUCUAUUUCAUCUGCAUUGUGAAAGGUCCUGGAGACUGAGAAUCAGGAAUUACUAGACUAUAAUGGAUGAGAUUUAUAAAAAAUAAGAUGAAGGUAAGCAGCUGUGCACAGCUGCUCUGCUAUAUUGGGAGGAAACUAGAACAAAGACACAAAACAAGAGUUGCAAGGGUAUAUGUACAUGUUCUGCCUGUGUUUAAGAGCCUAUCUAUGUUGCAUUUUGAGUUAUCUUGCUGGAGGAUAAGUUUGCAAGUUUGAGGCAAAAAGGCUUUGUGCUCUUGUGGUAAGAUCAUCAGGGAACAGCUCUCUGGAGGUGGUGCAGUGCAUAAGAGAGAAACUGGCUAGUGGUGGAAAUAAUACACUCCUUGGAAAAAGUAAAAGGAAAAUGUAAAAUGGAGUCUACCUUCUGGAUGCAAAGAAAUUCUCAUCAUCACGUGAUAGCAAGAUAGAAAAUAUGGUGACAACAAAAUUUUGACCAUUUAUAAAUAAUAAGUGAACUUCCAAAAAAGAAGGGAAAUGUUUGGAGACCAAAAUUAAGAGAAGCCACAAUGGUUUUGAUAUCAGGAUGAUGCUGGCCUCAUAAAAUGAGUUAGGGAAGAGUACCUCCUUUUCAAUUGUUUGGAAUAGUUUCAGAAGAAAUGGUACCAGCUCCUCUUUGUACCUCUGGUAGAAUUCAGUGUAAAUCUGUCUGGUCCUGGGCUUUUUCUGGUUGGUAGGCUAUUUAUUACUGCCUUAAUUUUAGAACUCCUUAUUGGUCUAUUUAGGGAUUCAACUUCUUCCUGGUUCAGAUUUUGGGAGGGUGUAUAAGAAUUUAUCAAUUACUUGUAGAUUUUCUAGUUUGUUUGCAUAGAGAUGUUUAUACUAUUAUUUCAUGGCUGUUUGUAACUCUGUGGAGUCAGUGGUAAUAUCCCUUUUAUCACUUCUGAUUGUGUCUAUUUGAUUUUUCUCUCCUUUCUUCUUUAUUAGUCUAGCUAGUGGUCAAUUUUACUAUUUUUUUUUUUAAACAGCUCCCUCCUGGAUUCCUUGAUGUCUUGAGGGGUUUUUGUGUGUGUGUGUCUCUAUCUCCUUCAGUUUGCUCUGAUCUUGGUUAUUUCUUGUAUUCUGGUAGCUUGGGGUUUGUUUGCUCUUAAUUCUCUAGUUCUUUUAAUUGUGAUGUUAGGAUAUUGAUUUAAGAUCUUCUAGCUCUUUGAUACGGGCAUUUAGUGCUAUAAAUUUCCCUCUUAAAACUGCUUCAGCUGCGUCCCAGAGAUUCAAGUAGGUUUUCUCUUUGUUCUCAUUAGUUUCAAAGAACUUCUUGAUUUCUACCUUAAUUUCAUUACUUACCCAGGAGUCAUUCAGGAGCAGGUUGUUCCAUUACUAUGUAGUUCUGUGGUGUUCAUAUCUUAAUCUUGAGUUUUAAUUUGAUUGUGCUGUGAUCUGAGAGACUGUUAUUAUUUUAGUUUUUUUGCAUUUGCUGAGGAGUGUUUUACCUCUAAGUAUGUGAUCAAUUUUAGAGUAAGUGCCAUAUGGCACUGAGAAGAAUGUAUAUUCUCUUGUUUUGGGGUACAGAGUUCUGUGAUAUCUAUCAGGUCCACGUGAUCCAGAGCUGAGUUUAGGUCCUGAAUAUCUUUGUUAAUUUUCUGUCUCAACGAUCUGUCUGAUAUUGACAGUGGGAUGUUAAAGCCUUCCACUAUUAUUGUGUGGGAGUCUAAGUCUCUUUGUAGGUCUCUAAGAAUUUGUUUUAUAAAUCUGGGUACUCCUGUAUUGGCUGCAUGUAUAUUUAGGGUAGUUAGCUCUUCUUGUUGAAUUGACCCUUUAGCAUUAUGUAAUGCCCUUCUUUGUCUUUUUUGAUCUCCGUUGGUUUAAAGUCUGUUUGCCAGAUACUAGGAUGGCAACCCCUGUUUUUUUCUGUUUUACGUUUGCUUGGUAAAUAUUCCUCCAUCCCUUUAUUUUGAGCCUAUGUGUGCCUUUGCACAUGAGACGGGUCUCUUAAAUACUGCACACUGAUGGGUCUUGACUCUUUAUCCAGCCUGCCAUUCUGUAUCUUUUAAUUGGGGCAUUUAGCCCAUUAAUAUUUAAGGUUAAUACUGUCAUGUGUGAAUUUGAUCCUGUCAUCGUAAUGCUAGCUGGUUAUUUUGCAGACUUGUUUAUGUAGUGACUUCAUAGUGUCACUGGUCUGUGAACUUCAGUGUGAUUUGUAGAGGCUAGUCAUGGCUUUUUAUUUCCAUAUUAUGUGUUUCCUUCAGCUGCUCUUGCAAGGCAGGCAUGGUAGUAAUGAAUUCCCUCAGCAUUUGCUUGUCUGAAGAGGAUUUUAUUACUCCUUCGCUUAUAAAGCUUAGUUUGGCUGGAUAUGAAAUUCUGGGUGGAAAAUCCUUUUCUUUAAGAAUUUUGAAUAUUGGCUUCCACUCUCUUGUGGCUUGUAGGGUUUGUGCUUAGAGGUCUGCUGUUAGUCUGAUGGGCUUCUUCUGUAGGUGACCUGGCCUUUCUCUCUGGCUGCCCUUAACAUUUUUUCCUUCAUUUCAAACUUGGAGAAUUUGAUGAUGAUGUAUCUUGGGGAUGCCCUCUCUCACCACUCCUUUCAACAUAGUGGAAGUUCUGGCCAGCACAAUCAGGCUGGACAACAUGAAAAUGUCUGAUAAUACCAAGUAUUGCCAGAGUGUGGACCAAGAAAAACUCUUACAAAUACUAAUAAAACUGUAAACCAUGUGAAAAACAAUUUAAUAUUGACUGUAUCAUACCCUGAAACAGAAAUCCACUCCUAGGUGAUACAUUAACUAGAAAAAUUUUUAUGCACAUUCAUAAAGAGAUAUAAACAAACAUGUUCCCAACAGUAUUACUUAUAAUAGUAAAAACUGUCAUCAGAAUGUGAAUGUGGUGAGUUUAUACAAUUAACUAUUAUGCAGCAUCAAAAAUCAGUCAACCAGAGUGACACAUAUGAAUAUGAAUCAUUAUUAUUUACAUAAUGUUGAUAUUUUAAAAAUCAAAAGCAAUUUGCAAAAGAAUGCAUACUGUAUUAUAUCAUUUAUAUAAGGGUUACCUAUGCUAAGCGAUACAAAAAUAUUGUUAGUACUCAAAGUGCACAAAAUGUAUGAAUGUAUAAAUGUACAAAUAAAUACAAAAUUUAGAAAUGAGGUUAUCUUUUGUGUGUGGGGGAAUGGGGUGGACAGAGAGAGGAAUGGGAGAGGAGGCUUCAGUCAUAUCCAUAAUGCUUUCUUAAUGGGCAUAAUGGGUAUAUCAGUGGUCACUGUAUUUUUUCAUCUUAGGCAAAUUAAUGUUUACAAAAUAAUUAUUCAAAUGAAUUAAAAUCCACAAUAAAGAAGCAUUUUCUUUAGCUAGAACAGAUUGUUAAUUUGAGAGGCCAAUUUCAUAGUAAAAGCCCUCUAACAAAUUCAUUUGAAGAAAAAUCUUAAUGACCUACCUCCAUUUUCUAUUCAGAACCUCAGCCUGGUUUUUCAAAAACUAACCACAACAAAGCAUCACUGUCCACCCUUACAGUACCCCACUCAUACUGAUCCUGUCUUACUAAGGUCUACUGUCUCUGAGGUUUUCAGACCUUCAUCUUCAUGCAUCAAAAUUCAGUAAUGUUUUCUAUUUCCCUAAUUACCAGUAUCUAAUUAAGCCAAUCCUGUUAAGAUACUAACAACUCAAAAACUAAAAGUGUUAUCCUGUCUAUAUGUACUUUUAUUUUAAUGAGUAAUUGCCAAAGGGGAUAUCUUUUACGACAAGUGUAGCAUUUCAGGCAUCCAAAGGGAAAUAUUCAAAGAUAUUUGACAUCUUAUUGUUUAAUAUCGCCAUGAGUUUUAUUUUCAAAUAAGGUUAGUCUUGCUUAUCCUAAGAAGCAUUAUCAUUUCAAAGAUUUUAGCAGUGUGGGUCAAAGAAAUUGAUUAACAACUUGCAAAAUUUUAUAGCCUUAAUGUCUAAACAUUUAUAGAUGUAAUAGGAACAUCAAAUCUGUUAAAACUGCCUUGAUCUAAUUUGUAAAAUGGUGAUAGUUUUUAGUGUUGGGCCUCUGCUUGAACAACAUCCAAAGUAUAUUUAGCAUUUAUCUUUCUCCAAUUUUUAGACAGUCAUCUGCAUUUCCAGAGGGUUGAUGACAGGGCAGCUUGAAGUUUAAAGACAGCACCUGCAUUUGCAUUUCAAUAGUUCCAUAAUUCUAUGAAACCACUGAAAUCUCUUCAAUGUCUCAUUGUUUAAAUAGUAAAGGUGGCCAGAUUUUGUUCAAGAUUCAUAAUCUUACAAAAAUAUGGAGCCGUUGUAUUCAAAGCUUAUUCUAAAGAGAAUACCUUCUCUUUACACCUUAUAAUCCUGUUUGUUAAAACCCAUAACAAUUAGGUGGACAUCUGAACAUAUUUAAAGUAUUUUAUCCAUUGGAUUUUUAUGGUCCAAAAUCAAGAUUCUAGGACAAGAUAAAUGGGAAAGGAGGACAUGUAGUUUGAAAUGUGUUAUAUCAGCACCAUCAAUUUUUAAUUCGGGGUUCCAAAAUUAUCUUUUUCUCCAUUGGAAAGGAAUACGUUUGUUUCCACGUAGGAAACUACUUCCACUUAACACACAGAAGGUAACUUCAUUGGUAGGUAUGCUGCCUGUAUGCAAGGAUCUGCAGUUACUCAUAACUGGCUGUGUUUUUAAACAGAAUAAUUUUUGUCAAAUAUUUUGAUACAAAACAAUGAAGCCUGAAGUUAAAAUAAGAAAUUCUGGGCUCAAGUGCAGGGCAACUGGACACCCUUAUGAGAUGAGCCUUUGUGCCCUUCCUGUAAGUGUGGAUUAGAUUAUCCACCACCUAGAUUUAAGAAAGGAUUAAAUGAAAGAAUAUAUGUGAAAGUACUGUGUUGACUGUAUUAAAAAGAACUGGAAACCCAUAAAGGACCGCUAUAAUUGUGUAAUUGUUGCGCCAGGUUAUUUUGUCAAUACAUUUUUAAUCAGCACCUAAAAUAUUUCAUGUCACUUCAUCCAGCAGAGACAUUGAGAUGUGGCAAAAUGUUU
RNAcentral lists this long non-coding RNA (5367 nucleotides) under Homo sapiens (human). Its description in RNAcentral is "HSALNT0008635". The record is from RNAcentral. Lineage: Eukaryota; Metazoa; Chordata; Mammalia; Primates; Hominidae.